RNAcentral lists this ribosomal RNA (492 nucleotides) under uncultured bacterium. Its description in RNAcentral is "partial 16S ribosomal RNA". It matches the Rfam family "Bacterial small subunit ribosomal RNA", at positions 30 to 507 of the family's 1533-position model. The record is from RNAcentral.
AUUGAACGCUGGCGGCAGGCCUAACACAUGCAAGUCGAGCGGCUGCACGGAGAUUGCUUCUGGUUUCAGCGGCGGAGGGGCGGGUGAUGCCUAGGAAUCUGCCUGUUAGUGUGGGCUAACGUGCGGAAGCGGGGGCUCAUACCGCAUAAGUCCUGAGGGCGAAAGUGGGGGAGCUUCGGACCUUCGGCUCUUGGGUGAUUCUAUGUGGCGAGGUCGGAUUAGCUAGUUGGCGGGGUAAAGGCCUACCAAGGCGACGAUCCGUAGCUGGUCUGAGAGGAUGAUCAGCCACACUGGAACUGAGACACGGUCCAGACUCCUACGGGAGGCAGCAGUGGGGAAUAUUGGACAAUGGGCGAAAGCCUGAUCCAGCCAUGCCGCGUGUGUGAAGAAGGUCUUCGGGUUGUAAAGCACUUUUAUUGGGGAAGAAAAGCAGUAAGUUAAUACCUUGCUGUUUUGACGGUACCAAAAGAAUAAGCACCGGCUAACUUCGUG